Long non-coding RNA from Trachemys scripta elegans, 745 nucleotides. RefSeq lists it as uncharacterized. The transcript is spliced from 3 exons. The record is from RefSeq and is a predicted model, not a curated record. NCBI's taxonomy places the organism in Eukaryota, Metazoa, Chordata, Testudines, Emydidae.
UUUAAACUUACCUUUAUUUUUUCCUCCUUUAGGUCUGUGACAUCCAGACUUCCAGUACUUGUUUGGUACUAUGGACUAGCAUGCACUCAGCUGGUUACAUCCCAACCACCACUAACCCUCACUAGGGACCAGUGCAGGUCUACAGAAGAAGAAACAACACCAGAUCCAGAAGUUUGGUCCAACACUCAGGUCAAAAUAGAUACAGCAGCAUCUUGAGACUACCAAAGCCUGAUUCAGUUUCAAUCUUUCAGUAUUCACAUAGGAGCAAAUCCUGCCUUCUUACCCCAGUCAGCCAUAGAGGUUCCUGCCUGCAGCAAAAGUGCUGCAGUUCCACUACAAUGUGGGGAGGGGGACAUGAUGCUGGGAAUUCAGCAAUCUCUGUGCACUCUUUUGUGUAACAAAGUCCAGGUCCAUGGGAGUUCUUUCUGCACUGAUGGAGAUGGUCUGGGAGAGGAACAAACCCAAGGCUGAUGCAUCAGUGAUUGUUGGUGAAACUUAGUCCUGUGCUGGAGGCCACCAAAGUCUAUACAUCACUUCAGUCUCAUGUAAGGAUUGUGAUGGUUUAAAUGAACCUUAAGCGAUGCACAGAUUUUGUGCUGGCCUUUUACAUAGGGAUGAAUUUCACCUUAUGAGAAUAUACCAGGCUUUCUUUCCUUUGGAUUGUUGGGGUACAACAAAUUGCAGGUCCUCUGCAAUUUAAUUAUCUCUGCCGAGUUUUCUCUCCAUUCACUUCUGACUCCUAGAG